RNAcentral lists this ribosomal RNA (490 nucleotides) under uncultured bacterium. RNAcentral describes it as "partial 16S ribosomal RNA". It matches the Rfam family "Bacterial small subunit ribosomal RNA", at positions 30 to 507 of the family's 1533-position model. The record is from RNAcentral.
AUUGAACGCUGGCGGCAGGCCUAACACAUGCAAGUCGAACGGUAACAGGAAACAGCUUGCUGUUUCGCUGACGAGUGGCGGACGGGUGAGUAAUGUCUGGGAAACUGCCUGAUGGAGGGGGAUAACUACUGGAAACGGUAGCUAAUACCGCAUAACGUCGCAAGACCAAAGAGGGGGACCUUCGGGCCUCUUGCCAUCGGAUGUGCCCAGAUGGGAUUAGCUAGUAGGUGGGGUAACGGCUCACCUAGGCGACGAUCCCUAGCUGGUCUGAGAGGAUGACCAGCCACACUGGAACUGAGACACGGUCCAGACUCCUACGGGAGGCAGCAGUGGGGAAUAUUGCACAAUGGGUGCAAGCCUGAUGCAGCCAUGCCGCGUGUAUGAAGAAGGCCUUCGGGUUGUAAAGUACUUUCAGCGGGGAGGAAGGGAGUAAAGUUAAUACCUUUACUCAUUGACGUUACCCGCAGAAGAAGCACCGGCUAACUCCGUG